This is a long non-coding RNA of Scylla paramamosain (green mud crab), 1368 nucleotides long. RefSeq lists it as uncharacterized. The transcript has 5 exons. NCBI's taxonomy places the organism in Eukaryota, Metazoa, Arthropoda, Malacostraca, Decapoda, Portunidae. The record is from RefSeq and is a predicted model, not a curated record.
AUACCGAGAGCUUGAGGGGACACGCUGACGGGGCCCAGACGGAGACCACCGCUGCCUGGCUCUUCGGGCAUCUGGGAGACCAAUGUGGAAGGAGUGGUUGAAUAAUGGAUAGACUGAUUUAAAAACAUAGCGUUGGCCAGCAUGGAGAGGUAGAGCAGGGCCAUGCACGCAGACAGCCGCUGGACCCGCGUGAAGCGAGACCGAGGUGACCGCAGGAAGAUGCUGAACCAAAGGUGGUCGUCGGCAAAAUUCUUCUGUACCGUCUUGCCAAACACGUGGGAAUAGUCCUUCAGCUGCUGCUCUCCCGCCACGGCCACCAGGCGGUCCACCUAUGCACACGUGUGUCAGGAGAAGUCGAUGGUGUUUGGGGUGACGAAGAAACCCGACCCAAAGGAGGUGAGGUGGUUGCAAGCACAGACUGUGAUGGAGGAGUUGGCAGCCAUGACCUGUGUGAUGCGAGGGACUUCAGAGGCCUUUACUUUAAGUGUUUCAGUGACUGGUAAGUCUUUUCCACCCACUGUGCAUCCAUCGCUGCUCCAAGUCAGCCUCUCGUUGUCAAAGAAGAGGCAGGACGAGACGAAGGUGCUGAAGUAAUAUGGAGAGGAGAAGUUUGUGUGGUAGCUGAAGAGGUCGCACCAGCACCGUCACAGCCACUCGGGGGGCAGGCACGUGCAGGUUGUGAAGACUCAGGGCCAUUCUGGAGGACACCUGCGGCUCUGGGGAUUAGAUGAUGAUAUGCACUGUAGCUGUGCAGGAUUUAGAGUAAUUGUAAGUGGAGUGAAUUACAAUGCUGCAAGAACAAAAUGAUCUGUGCUUAGUUUUAAAGUUAUGGAGUAAUUGCAAGUGGACUGAGAUAUGGUAGAGCAAGGACAAGGGAACAUGUGGCUAUUUUGGGUCUGGAUUUAAUGUUAUACUUUUAAAUUCAGACAUGGGAACACAUGAGGAAGAUUACAUGGUAGUGCCUAGACCCAAAAGAAAGUCCUGUUUUUCUGCAUGGCUGCAUGACUCACAAAACCUUGCUGCACUGUGACUUGAUAGGAGGUUAAGGCUCUGAUAAAACACUGACUGAGAGGGGCAGUAAUAGCUAGUGUGUGUAUACAAGGUUUGUCGUGUAUGAAGAAUUUAGGAUGGCAAGAAAGUGUAUGGAGACUUAAAAUAAACAAGGAGGAUAAUGAAGAAAGUGUAUAGAGACUUAAAAAUUAACAAACUUAUUAUGAUGUCUGAAAAAUGAACAAACUUAUUAUAUCUGAAAAAUGAACAAACUUAUGUUAUCAGGAAAACUAACAGACCUAUUACAGUAUCUGAAAAUGAACACUUAUGGUAUCUGGUAUGUGUACUUUGCAUUUCCGUAACAUUGCCAACACACUA